GGGAUGAUGGUGGAAUAGGUAGACACAGCAGACUUAAAAUUUGCUGCCCGCAAGGGCGUCCGGGUUCGAGCCCCGGUCAUCCCA
This is a transfer RNA of 84 nucleotides. It matches the Rfam family "tRNA". Rfam says of the family: Transfer RNA (tRNA) molecules are approximately 80 nucleotides in length. Their secondary structure includes four short double-helical elements and three loops (D, anti-codon, and T loops). Further hydrogen bonds mediate the characteristic L-shaped molecular structure. tRNAs have two regions of fundamental functional importance: the anti-codon, which is responsible for specific mRNA codon recognition, and the 3' end, to which the tRNAs corresponding amino acid is attached (by aminoacyl-tRNA synthetases). tRNAs cope with the degeneracy of the genetic code in two manners: having more than one tRNA (with a specific anti-codon) for a particular amino acid; and 'wobble' base-pairing, i.e. permitting non-standard base-pairing at the 3rd anti-codon position.